AACACGGUGAUGGCUAGAAACCUCCAAGCGGUGUCGAUGCCGAACCGAUCAAAAGCACAAGAAACUCGAUAAAGAUGACCUAAUACAAAGAUGAGUAAGGAACCUUCGAACAACAUCGACAUCGCACGGGACAGAAGUGAAAGAAGUCCGACGCACGACAAUUCAACACGACGUACGAGUAAGGUAACAAAAACCUUUUCAUUUCAUUAACAAGAUGCAUGUUACAAGGCCCUGAGGGCCAAAAAAAAAAACAUUACUAU
This 260-nucleotide long non-coding RNA is filed under the name Elaeis guineensis (African oil palm). RNAcentral's name for it is "long non-coding RNA (EGUI_LNC057214)". The record is from RNAcentral. Lineage: Eukaryota; Viridiplantae; Streptophyta; Magnoliopsida; Arecales; Arecaceae.